CACUGUUGCAGAGGAAAAUCUGGCAGGGAGAACAUGAAGACUUCAUUGAAGACGGUCACCAGGCAGCGGGCCACUACGGAUGUUUUCUGAUCUUCUUGUAACUCCAGAGGGUAGGAGAUUUUGAGCUGCCCUAAGGGAACCCUCACCUGUCCUAAGACUGUGUUUCUGGAGAAUUUAUCAAAGUCCCUCACCUGAGAUAAGCACAGAAACAUGACAGAUUCACACAUACAAAUGAAAAAUAAACUCCAAUGACUUGAGAUUCACUAAGAGUGAGAGAUGUGUUUGUGUACUGCAGGACCUCCAUCCUGAGGUUGAGAUGACGAAGCUCUUUAUGCUCUUGCAGAAUACAGCUGAACUGGUCUCCAAAUAGAGGGCUACAGCUGCCUUUCACAAUGCGAGUCCGCCACUCCUGCAGCACUGUCCAUAGGACGGGUGCCAUCCCUUCAGCCUAAAAGGGUCACAGCAAUUCUGAGGAGGGAAAUGAGCCCUGAGACAGACAGCGGCUCAGCCUGUGGACCUCUGUGCUGGCGUCCUCCAUCUGUGGAGCAUGACAACAUAUAUUACUGCAUGCUAUUUCCAUCAGAGGAGUUUAUUUUAGCCUCUACACCACCUCCAACUUUUGUUUUACAUGCAACACUUCCAAACACUUCUUUGUUUGAACAAGCAUGCUCAUUCUUUAUGUACAUAGACAAUGUUGCCUACUUGGAGGAUCUCACAAAAUAACAAGAACACAACAACAGAUGAUAAUCUUGUACAUGUGACAUAAGUGUUCUCGGCACCCCUGAAUGUGGCCCUAACGCCAAUUUCUGACCAUGAUGGCAGCACAGUCCUUUUCCUGGUUUUUCAUCCAACAUUACCGCCGUCAAGACACUGUAAAAACUAGUCUGCCAGACUUUUACUGACACAAGUCACAUGGAAGAAAACAGUAGACUAUCCAAAUAAAAUGUGCUGGGCUCUCAAACACAGCUCACACAUAAGAUCAACGCAAAUAAGAUACCUCAAGCUCAACCUGACUCUUCUCUCAGGUAAUAAUAAUCGGUGCAGAAACUUUUAGGGACUGCCCCAAGAGUAUCGACUGAAAGGCAGCAGCUUCCUCCAAAGGUUAUUGACAGUGGGUCUGCAUCAGUUUUUGUUUUGUCAAAGAAGGCCACAUGGAAUCUCAAAUAAUCUACUGAUUUGUUUAGACAUCUGCCAAUGGCUAAUAUUGUUUGGGUGCUGCUUUGACUCUGUGCCACAUAACAUGUAGUCAUAGGAAAAUAAAUGUAAAUAAAGCACUCUUACCCGGGUACUUGGAGCUUCUGAGUAGUUUCCUGCUGUUCUUGGCUUCAUGUCUG
Molecule: long non-coding RNA, 1334 nt
Organism: Larimichthys crocea (large yellow croaker)
Lineage: Eukaryota; Metazoa; Chordata; Actinopteri; Sciaenidae
Exons: 3
Source: RefSeq, a predicted model, not a curated record